This 391-nucleotide ribosomal RNA is filed under the name uncultured bacterium. Its description in RNAcentral is "bacterial SSU rRNA". It matches the Rfam family "Bacterial small subunit ribosomal RNA", at positions 28 to 414 of the family's 1533-position model. The record is from RNAcentral.
GACGAACGCUGGCGGCGUGCUUAACACAUGCAAGUCGAGCGGUAAGGCCCUUUCGGGGGUACACGAGCGGCGAACGGGUGAGUAACACGUGGGCAACCUGCCCUGUAGAUUGGGAUAACUCCGGGAAACCGGGGCUAAUACCGAAUAAUCCAUUUCCUCUCAUGGGGAAAUGUUAAAAGCGGUUUCGGCUGUCACUACAGGAUGGGGCCCGCGGCGCAUUAGCUAGUUGGUGAGGUAACGGCUCACCAAGGCGACGAUGCGUAGCCGACCUGAGAGGUGAUCGGCCACACUGGGACUGAGACACGGCCCAGACUCCUACGGGAGGCAGCAGUAGGGAAUCUUCCACAAUGGACGAAAGUCUGAUGGAGCAAUGCCGCGUGAGUGAAGAAGG